This is a long non-coding RNA of Globicephala melas (long-finned pilot whale), 678 nucleotides long. RefSeq lists it as uncharacterized. NCBI's taxonomy places the organism in Eukaryota, Metazoa, Chordata, Mammalia, Artiodactyla, Delphinidae. The record is from RefSeq and is a predicted model, not a curated record.
CAGCAGGACGCCAGGCCCCGCCAGCGCUCGUGGGAUCCUGCCCGGGAUUACCUUCUAUGGGGAGGCCCGGGAGGGCUGUGGGCGGAGCGGAGUGUGCAGCCUGCGCAGGGCCGGCGACGUGGCGGCCCGGCUCCCUCCCUCCUCCCAAGACUCACCCCCGCCCCUGCUCCGGGGACCUGCUGCGGCCCGGGAAGCACGUGGGUCCACCGGCCCCUCCCUCGGGGUGGCUGGAAUCCCGGCCCCUCUCUCACCACCUCUGAGACGCUGAGUACGCCACUAAACCUGGAGCCGCGUGUGACCUGAGGAUUCCUCCUCUGGCUUGGAGCCGGUGAUAAGGGCAGCCCAUCUGCUGGGGGCUCCAAGAACCACAGGCUAAGGAACAACUGCCCCUCAGAGACUCACAGUUGGGAACCACACUGAAGCAGAAUUAAAGGGAUUACAGAGUUUAUCCAACGAACUAUAAGAAUUCCAUGAACAACAGCUUUUUAAAACAUCUCCAGGGGUGAGAGACUCAUCACCUGGUCAGACAGCCUGCUCCCUUGUUGUACAAACGCAGCGGUUAGAAUAGUACCGCCCAACAGAAAGGUACUGCAAGCCACAGGUGUGGCUCGAAAUUUUCUAGAAGCCACAGGAAAAAACCUAAAACGGAACAGGCAAAAUUCAUUUUAAUAAUAUAUA